UGGAAUGCAUGACGCGUUUAACGCAAUACAAUACAACUUUCAGCAACGGAUCUCUUGGCUCUCGCAUCGAUGAAGAACGCAGCGAAAUGCGAUAAGUAAUGUGAAUUGCAGAAUUCAGUGAAUCAUCGAAUCUUUGAACGCACCUUGCGCCCUUUGGCUAUUCCGAAGGGCAUGCCUGUUUGAGUAUCGUGAACACCUCAACUCUCAUGGUUUGCCGUGAUGAGCUUGGACUUUGGGGGUCUUGCUGGCCUUUGGUCGGCUCCUCUCAAACGGAUCAGCUUUCCAGUGUUUGGUGGCGUCAUGGGUGUGAUAACUAUCUACGCCUGUGGUUUUCUGCCAG
This 340-nucleotide ribosomal RNA is filed under the name uncultured fungus. RNAcentral describes it as "eukaryotic LSU rRNA". The stretch from base 35 to 189 matches the Rfam family "5.8S ribosomal RNA". Lineage: Eukaryota; Fungi. The record is from RNAcentral.